CCGCCGCCGCCGUCGCUGCUGCUGGUGCUCCCGGUGUGCCUGCUCGCCGUCCUGGUGGCCAUGGCGUUCGUCCCGCUCGACGCGCAGAGCAACGUCGUCGGCUCGUCGUGCUUGUAGAGAAGGAAAUUAUUUUCUUGCUUCUUUUAUCUCUUCCAGUUAGUUUAGGUUAGCACAAAGAAACCGGCAUCACUUGUUAGAUUAGUUGGAGUAGUUCAUUAUUUGGUUGUAAACUCACCAUAGUUUACUGCUGAUCUAUCGGUGCUCCUGAACCUUACCACCAUGGAAUACACAUGCUGCCAUGCCAUCCCUUCAGAAAUCAAAAUGAACAUUGUAUAUCUCGCGUCACAUGGAUGACGUGAUCACAAGACAAACGGUCUCAUCUUUUUAUUCUUAUUUUAACAUAUGAUGUUAUUGAUUCGUUUGAUGAACAUUUGUCUAAUUGUCACAUUUACAAACUUUAUAUAAAUAUACAAAAAUAUCAG
This 482-nucleotide long non-coding RNA is filed under the name Oryza brachyantha (malo sina). RNAcentral's name for it is "long non-coding RNA (OBRA_LNC000290)". The record is from RNAcentral. Lineage: Eukaryota; Viridiplantae; Streptophyta; Magnoliopsida; Poales; Poaceae.